UCAGGUGCCUAUAUCGGCGGUGUCUACCUCUUCCCAUUCCGAACAGAGCAGUCAAGCCCGCCAGAGCCGAUGGUAUUGCCGUAACAGGUGGGAGAGUAGGUCGGUGCCGAAUUUAAUACGGAGCCCGUUGUCGAAAGAUAACGGGCUUUUGUUUUUUAAAAAGUAAAAAGUAAAAA
This 176-nucleotide ribosomal RNA is filed under the name Sphingobacterium paludis. The record is from RNAcentral. Lineage: Bacteria; Pseudomonadati; Bacteroidota; Sphingobacteriia; Sphingobacteriales; Sphingobacteriaceae.